Long non-coding RNA from Fopius arisanus, 2595 nucleotides. RefSeq lists it as uncharacterized. The transcript has 3 exons. NCBI's taxonomy places the organism in Eukaryota, Metazoa, Arthropoda, Insecta, Hymenoptera, Braconidae. The record is from RefSeq and is a predicted model, not a curated record.
AAAUUUUCAAGAAAGCAUCAGAGGAGCAUAAAAAUGAAGGAGAACUUCUCGGCGAGAGGAAAUCCUUUAAAAAUUACCAGGAGAUAAAUUCCCUGUGUCCGGUGUUCAUUAAGUUGAAAUGUAAUGCCGAUGAGGAAAUUCCACAUCCGAGAGAAUUAGGGUACGUCGAAUCCACAAUAUUCUGAUAAAAAAUAGAUAGUGGAUUGGAAUUUGGAAGAAACUUAAGAACCGGAACCUGUGAGGCGGGACAUAAAGCACCGGUAACGUACACCCAGCGCUUCAUAUCCUUGAAAAGCCCAAGGCCUCCAUAACAGGAAUUCUGCCGCAUACAUGGCAGACAUACACCGCAGAGGAAAACGAGGAAGGUGGGAUGUUUUCAGGGCACAGUGGUGAAUACACUAACAACGAGGUCUCCCCUUCCACUGGUAAGAUGGUUUUGAUACAAAAAAGGAUGCAAUCCUCUCGGGGAUAAAGCAUUGCAUGAGUGAUUUAUGAGAUGAUCUUGGAGGGGGAGCAAAUGAUAGAGAUGUGAUAUUACGAUGAUGACACAUGCACAGAGUUUCUACGGCCAUUCGUUUUGCGAUGAAGAGAAGGACCCGGCCAUUACACCGAAGAAAAUUUGUAAAUACCAACACGAGAGAAAUUUAUUAUUAUUUUUUUUUUUUACGGAAUGCUUCCGUAAUUUUGACGGAAUAUUUCUCUCGGAGUGGCCAAUUCUCUCAGGCGGUCUACAAUUGGUCGAUUCGCUCAGAUAACUUUGAGCGCGUAAUGCAGAUAAUUUACAAAAUUGAACGUAUUAGAUGGCCCAGUGUAAGUCAAUUCUGAAGCAAUUAACUGAGACAACACCAAUUACUCGUCGUCUAUGUAGGGUAGUUAGCGUCCAAGAGUUUUGUUUAGUAGGCCCAUCCUCUCGAAAAGCGAUACAAAGAGGCAAAACUGGAGGGUGAGACGAUGUCGUGACAAGAGUGGGAAACACGAGAGGUGGAAUGUUUGGCAAUUAACAAAGGGUAAUAAUUAACGUGGCACCAUGGGGUAAAGCGUAUUGGCAAGCAACACAACCUCAACACAUAUCUAGCCUGAUUUAGGAGGUUAAAUUGACCAGGUAAAUUUUCGAUUAACUUGAAAUUGGAAUUGAGGGGUGAAAAAUUGGGGCAUUGAUAUUCUGAGCCUUUUUCGUUACCCUUCGGAAUGAAUCAAUGGCGCUGAUUAAUGACUUUACACUCCUUUUGGGACAUUUUCUCUCAUCCUUUUUCCACCGUGAAUUACGUGGGUUGUGAAUAAAUCGCACAACUGCGGAAUAGGCUUUGCAAUUAAUUAUUGCAUGUUUUCACAUAUUAUAUAAUUUUUUUGACAUUUAUUUUAUAUUAUAUAAUUCUGAAAAUUUAAAUUUAACAAAUACAUAUCUAUAUUUCAAUAUGUAUAGUACAUGUUUUUUUUUUAAUGAAAAUCACCGAUCAUCAAUCAUGGCUUUCAAAAUCCCAUGAUUAUUUCGCCCUCGCAAAAUCAAAAUCAUCUGCCAAAAUGUUGAAUAAAGAGAAAAUAGAUCUCGAAAUGAAAAUUUAAAGGGAAAUAUUUCCGAAUUUAAAUCCAUUCCAGAAAUAUUCGGAAUUUUGAUAUGUGGGUGAAUAAAUAUCAAAUAAAUUGCGGGCAAUGUAACUCGUACCUAUUGCGAUCAUCAAAAAUCUUAUGAGGUUGAAAAGAGUAAUUAUUCAAUCCAAAUGGAUGAUAAAUUUCAGUCGGAGCAUGAUAAUUAGUAUUCCCGUGAUGUUGAAUGGUUUUCAGGAAUAAUGGAAAGUCUCUCGCGGUUUUUUUCGGCUCGACACGUGUCAUUUCCAGAGCCCGUUAAACUCAACAUAUAAUUCACAUCGGAAUGGUACAUGCGGGUGGAACAAACCCGCUAAUAUUUAACGACAGUUUAAUGGGGUACAACCACGCUGAAGAAGCAACAACACUCACUUGAUGGUGAAAUUUAGAGUAGGGUGCGCCAAAGCUAAAUUAAGGGUGGGUUUUACGGUUCUCCAUCUCAGUUCUUCCCACAGUAAUCAUCAUUAUUUCUAUCCUCCAUCUAGAAUAUACCAGAGUAUACUUCAGAGUAUACAGAGUAUACUUCAUCGAAAUUUAUUUUGCGGGAAUUUUGCAAUCGAUUAUUUCAUUGCAUAACUCUAACUCGUAUUCGAUUGAAUAAUUGAUUAAAGUUGAUUAAAGUUGAUUAAAGUAAAUUAAACUAAAUCAGCAACACGAUUUCCAACUGCAAAAAUUCCCGUUAGUCUAUCCGGGAAUUUUUGUUUUACGACCGGAGGCUUGUCCCCCAGUUGUCCACCGGGGAUUCGCACAAAUAGUUGUGGAACAGGUGCGCUAACGUCCGGUUCGUUUACCACGGCGCUUAAUGGCGAGAGCCACGGAAAAGCCAUAACCACAAAUCCCUGAAGAUUGACUUUACCCCUUUUGUUGGGCGAAUGUAACGGGACCAUUACUACUUCUACCAUUCAAAAUUUUUCCCUCAAUUCAAAAAAUUCCCCCGAAAUCCUAGUCCAUUUUUCAUGCAAGUUUCAACUAAUUACUCAUUCAAUUAUUCAAGUGGAACAAUAAAUUAAA